Molecule: RNA transcript, 2717 nt
Organism: Ipomoea triloba (trilobed morning glory)
Lineage: Eukaryota; Viridiplantae; Streptophyta; Magnoliopsida; Solanales; Convolvulaceae
Gene name: MND1-interacting protein 1-like
Exons: 5
Source: RefSeq, a predicted model, not a curated record
UCCUCUCUAUUUUCUUCCAAUUUCCAAACCCUACACUCUCUGCUCUUUCUCCUCCACCGACCAUCGUCGCCGGCGAUUCUCCUCCGUGGCUCCAUCCGUUCACCAUUCGUCCACCGUUAUUGAUUUAUAGCCUCAGAUUUGUGUAGGCUAAUUGAAUUGAUUCGAAAUAUUUUCAAACUGGGAAUUGAAGCUGCUAGUCUCAAGUAUUGAGGACUAGAAUCAGAAUGGGUUCUAACGUAACAGAGAAGUAUACCCGUGCCAAUCGGAGGAACCGAUCGGCAAAACCCAACCCGGAGCAGGGCAGCAGCAAUAACAACACAGGCAGUGCUGGGCUUGAUAACAGUUGCUGUGCCGAGGAGCAUUUGGAGGUUGAAUGCCCGAAGAGGUUCAAUCUCAGUCCUUCAGUUAAGUCGUUGAUGAAGACGAACGUUGCAACAUUUGAUGCUGGGUUUAGGUCAACGUCAAACUACAAAAACCUACAAAAUCAGUCACAAGCAGCCUCAAGCCUUUUGCCUUCUGGGUAUUCUGAAUCCCAGAAUUCAAAAAACCAAGACGUUGUCAACUCUGUAUUAAGUAGAUUUCGGGAUUUAAAUCUUGAUGAGAGUACAGAGCAUGGGCAUCUCCAGAUGGAUAAAGAAGAUGAGAUUAUUGUGAGCUUGAUCCAUCAAAUCAAGGAUCUUGAGAGGCAGAGAAAGCAACAGGAGGAAUGGGCACAUCAAAAAGUAAUUCAAGCUGCAAGAAAACUAAUCGACGACUUAACUGAGCUCAAGAUGCUGAGGAUGGAAAGGGAGGAUACCCAAAGUGUGAAGAAGGGUAACUUCAUGAAGAAGCACACAGAAUUGGAGAAUGCUCUCCGUAAAGCACGUGGUGAAGUGGACCGUAUCAAGUCUGCAGUGAGAAAGCUUGAGACUGAGAAUGCAGAAGUUAGAGCAGAAAUCGAGGCAUGUAAACUGACUGAAUCAGAAUCUGCAACAACUUCUAUGGAGUUUGCGAAGAGGGAGAAGAAAUGGCUGAAAAAGAUUUCAGCUUUGGAGAAACAGAGAACUAAACUACAGGAGGAUAUUGCAGCUCAGAAACAGAAGUGUUCAGACUUGGCAGAACAGCUGGCUCAGGAUGAGGCAGAUCAAAAGAAAGAUGAGGAAAACUGGUGCAAUGAACAGGCAGCCAAGGAGGUAGCCCGGACCCAAAUAGAGGAAGAACAGAAGUUCAAAGAGGCUGCCGAGGCUGGUUACAAAAGGAAGCUGGAGGCUCUGCGCCUCAAGGUAGAAUUGGACAUCCAGAGGCUGAAAGAUGACCUCCAACACCUUGAACACGAUCUUUCGAUGCUGAAAUCAUCUGAGCUGAGUGCUGAUAGGGAAUGCAUUCUCUGCUUGAAGGAUGAGGCGUCUGUUGUCUUUCUCCCCUGUGCUCACCUCGCUGUGUGUGCCGACUGCAACAAGAGCUACGGGAAGAAGGGCAGAGCUGCAUGUCCAUGCUGUCGCGUCCCUAUUGAACAGAGAUUCCCGGUCUUUGGCGUGACCUCCUAGCAUCCUCGUCUGCUUCUUGUUGAUCUGAAGAAAGCAUAAUUGAAAUCAACCCUUGAAAAACUAACUCAAGAACAGUCAAAAAACUUUACAGACACAACUUGUAAACUUUACAUUGUUAUCACUUUCUUUCUACAUUAAAACUUUACAGAUCCUUGAAAGUAACUUUUGACAAUGUAAAGUUACUAACUCAAGAAACUUUACAGACCCUUGAGUUAGUAACUUUACAUUUUUAUUGCUAUACGAAUCAGUAUUAUAUUAUCACUUCUAUCUGUGCAUAUUCUGUGCAAAUUCUGUGCGGCCUAAGCUGAUAAAUAUCUCAGUAAAUAUUGUACCUGUUUGUGUUUGACAGGAUAAGUGGUGCAAGAAACAGGCAGCCAAGGAGGUAUCCCUCACACAAGUAGAGGAAGAACAGAGAAUGCAGAAUUGGAGAAUACUCUCCGUAAAGCAAGUAGUGAAGUGGACCGUGUCAAUUCUGCUGUGAGAAAGCUUGAGACUGAGAAUGCAGAAAUUGAGGCAUAUGAACUGAGUGCAUCAGAAUCUAUAACAACUUCUAUGGAGGUUAAGAAGAGGGAGAAGAAAUGCCUGAAAGAUUUCAGCUAGGGAGAAACAGAUAUUUAAGCUUCAGGAGGAUAUUGCAGCUCAGAAACAGAAGUUUUCAGACUUAGCAGAACAGCUGGCUCAGGAUGAGGCAGAUCAAAAGAAAGCUGAGCUUAUUGCAUUAUUUGAUAUUCAGAGAUGCACAUUCAUGAGUCAUUACUCAUCUUUCAACAACAUCUUAUGAAGAUUCAAGCAAAGGGGAAACAGAAUAGGAUUUAGAAUUCAAGCCAAAGGACGGGCAGGUAGGGAAAUGCUCAUAAAGAAUGUCUUACAGGCAAUUUGAUUGCUGAUGUUCAUAAUACCAAAAGAGUGCAGUGUCCUAAUGUUUGUAGCUUGAAACGGAUGCUCUUCUUGUUAUCCAGUGCCUGUGUAGUGAUAGCUUGAUUUCCUCUUUUGAUUUGGUUUGUAAAGAUGUUGGGAAAAUAGCCAAGGACUUUUCCAAAAUUAGCUUUCAGUUUGUUAUGCUAACCCAUAGGUUAGCCCGGGAAGCCCUUUUCAUGGCUGGUUGCAGGGAGUGGAAUUCAUUCCCCCCUAGCAGUGUUUCUGAUGUUUCUCCUCUGUUUUAAGUUAAUGAAGUUGGUGUUUGUUUAAAAA